GGCCAGGGCUCUUCUGGCCCCCAGGAAAUUCUCAGUUCCCUUCUGGUCCUACUUCCGUUCCUACGGGAGAACUUCCGGGAGCAACAGAAAUAAGGGUGAUCCAGCUACCAACUCUCUCUGGUUUGUCCAGAAAGCAUCCUCCGUUACUAACGGUUUCCUGGAUUCCGUUGGGAAGGCGGCCAUCAUGAGAGAACCGUUCCCGGACAGUAUUAGAAAGGUGCAGAUCCAUUUUCACCAUUUCUCCAAGUGUGAUUUGAAACAGUAACUGUCAAAUUUCAGAGACAUCAGGAUGGCAGCAAAAAUCCAUCGCAUACAGCAACAAAUGUCUGAGUGGCCUGAAAUUGAACACUGCUCUUAAUGGCACAGUUCCUUUUGUACCUCUGGCUCGCACUUGUUUUUAUUAGAUUGUUUUUGUUUCUGAUAAAAUAACUAUGAAUUCACUGGAACCUUGGCAAGUGAGAGAUAGCACAAGUCACACACUGUGGCAAUAGUCAGAUGCAGGCAACAUUAACAACCUGGCAUUAAUCUGUACUUCGAGAUAUGUGAUAGAAAGGAGAAGCUACACAUUUGUAAAUCAAAAUGUAUCCUGCCUCAGUUCAUUUAUCUUCUACCAUCUCUUGUUAAAUUCAUCUGGACUCAUUUCCCUCAUUUUGUUGAGAAGGUGACUUUAAAUUUUUUUUUUAAUUAAUUAAUUAUUUUUUGUACCAAAAAUACUACUCUGGACCUUGAAUGUUUGAGGCAGGUGAAGCACCACUGAGCUAAAUCCCCACACAAGAUGAUGAUUUUUGUUUUGUUUUGUUUUUUGAGACAGGGUCUCACUAUGCCGUUGAUACUACCCUGGAACUCAGUAUGUAGCCCAGGCUGGUCUUGAACUCACAGCAUUCCUCCUGCUUCAGCCUCCGGAGUGCUGGGAUUACAGGCAUGCACCACUACGCCUAGCUCAGAUGAUGAUUUUUAAAGGUCUCAAGGUGAACACGCAGUGGUUCUUUUCAAAUUCAUUAACUGAUUUCAAUUAGUCAUUUAGGCUCUUGUCUUCCAACUAAAACAAAUUUUCCCAUUUAUUGAAUGUUAAGAAAAAUUCUAUAGUCACUAUAUGAAUCACUAUCCAAAGUUCAUGCACAUUAAUUAUCAUUUUUUCAUCAUUUUUGUGUACUUGUGGUAAUGAGGAAGGAGCCCAGUGACCUUGAUAAUCAACAGUACCCCUAUUUCCACAUUUUUAUUUUGAGAAAGAUCCUCACCAAAUCUCUAAGUGGCCCAGGCUGCAGUUGAACUUGGGACCCUAUUGUAUCACUUUUCUGAGUGGCUGAGAUAAAAUGUUUUCAAUUGACAAAUAUUGUGCAUCCUUUAUGUCCACGAUCGUGGACAUUACCUAGAAAAGUAGAUUGCACAAAACACAUAGCAUACUGAAUUUUAAAUACCCACACAUUAAUAGAAUCGUGGAUGGAUUUGUGCAACUGGCUAAAGAUUUUCAUAGGAUAUAUUGUAAGACUUGAAUAGGCUAAAGUGACUCCAUGCUAAUAGGCCAGACUGUGCUUCUUCAUAUGCUAAUUGCUACCUUGGUUAACAGCCCGCCCAGGGGCAAAUGGUUUGACAAAAGGUGACCCUAGAACAUUUCCUGCAUAAGAUAAGCAAUGUGUUUGCAGUCUUGUUCUGUGAAUUCCCUGACUCUUUGUUUAGAAAAACCUUAUAAAAAGUACCUCAGCCCCUGAGCAGUUGCCUCUCUGAGCCACCUGGCUCCGGGAGUGCCAUCUGGCCAGACUAAUAAAGGUCUUUUACCAUCUAGCCUGGUGUGUUCCUUCCUGGGUUUCUCGGUUCUCUGUCGUGUUCCCGGAGCCUCGCUGGGUGUUAGGGCCCAGCAUCGUGGAGGCCUUUCGGCUGUUCACGCUCCGUGG
Long non-coding RNA from Fukomys damarensis (Damara mole-rat), 1892 nucleotides. Lineage: Eukaryota; Metazoa; Chordata; Mammalia; Rodentia; Bathyergidae. The record is from Ensembl.